CAGUCGCCACGGGAAUACGUAGGGUGCAAGCGUUAACCGGAAUUACUGGGCGUAAAGCGUGCGCAGGCGGUUUUGUAAGCCUGUCGUGAAAUCCCCGGGCUCAACCUGGGAAUGGCGAUGGAGACUGCAAGGCUAGAGUACGGUAGAGGGGGAUGGAAUUCCGCGUGUAGCAGUGAAAUGCGUAGAUAUGCGGAGGAACACCGAUGGCGAAGGCAAUCCCCUGGACCUGUACUGUCGCUCAUGCACGAAAGCGUGGGGAGCAAACAGGAUUAGAUACCCGCGUAGUCCCUGUCUCUUAUAC
Molecule: ribosomal RNA, 301 nt
Filed under: uncultured bacterium
Lineage: Bacteria
Description: partial 16S ribosomal RNA
Rfam family: Bacterial small subunit ribosomal RNA
Source: RNAcentral